AUUGAACGCUGGCGGCAGGCUUAACACAUGCAAGUCGAGCGAGCGGCGGACGGGUGAGUAAUGUCUGGGAAACUGCCUGAUGGAGGGGGAUAACUACUGGAAACGGUAGCUAAUACCGCAUACCAUCAGAUGUGCCCAGAUGGGCUUAGCUAGUAGGUGGGGUAAGCGCUCACCUAGGCGACGAUCCCUAGCUGGUCUGAGAGGAUGACCAGACACACGGGAACGGAGAGACGGUCCAGAAUCGUACGGGAGGCAGCAGUGGGGAAUAUUGCAGAAGGGGCGCAAGCAUGAUGCAGCAAUGCCGCGUGUGUGAAGAAGGCCUUCGGGUUGUAAAGCACUUUCAGCGGGGAGGCGUUACUCGCAGAAGAAGCACCGGCUAACUCCGUGCCAGCCGCCGCGGUAAUUC
This 406-nucleotide ribosomal RNA is filed under the name uncultured bacterium. Its description in RNAcentral is "partial 16S ribosomal RNA". It matches the Rfam family "Bacterial small subunit ribosomal RNA", at positions 29 to 526 of the family's 1533-position model. The record is from RNAcentral.